This is a long non-coding RNA of Nasonia vitripennis (jewel wasp), 622 nucleotides long. RefSeq lists it as uncharacterized. Lineage: Eukaryota; Metazoa; Arthropoda; Insecta; Hymenoptera; Pteromalidae. The transcript is spliced from 2 exons. The record is from RefSeq and is a predicted model, not a curated record.
UUUCUAGAUCCAAUCAAAGCAUUAUAGCAUGUAAUUAUUUUGUACAGUAAUGCUCUGCUGUGCGUCACGAGUUUUUGCAAUGUUUGAUUGAAAAUAAAUUAGGCAAGUCUAUUUUUGGCAAGCAAGAUACACAAGAUCCUCGAAUCUUCUAUAAGCAGCGUUACAUAGCAAGAAUUGAAUGAAGCCAAUAUAAGAGGUGCUCUUUCAGCUAUUACCAAGCGUACCUUUUGGUUACGUUCUCAUCUUUUGGUACUAUACAAGAUAUAAUAGUAUUUAAGGACAAAGGUUACGCUUUCAUCAAGUUUUAUCGGUGUUGGAUCUAAUGCAAAUCAACAAGCUUAACAGAGUAUAUAUUCAUUUCGUUUAAGCAAACCAUCUGCGCAAAGAUCGGCACGAUUUUCUCGUUUACUAUAUAUAUCGGUAUGACAUAUAGAUCUAUAGGAGCGGACCUUAAACCCGAUGUUAAAGACAAUCAUCCUGCUCACGUCCUGCUGUAGGCGGGAAUGUUGCGUCGCCGUCGAUGAUCUCAAAUGAACGGUUACUUAUUCAGCGCCAAAAGUUUUCAUCGUUUUAAUUAGUGUAAACACACGGCCAUCAAUAAAAAAUAAAGAUAAAGAAAAAA